This 427-nucleotide ribosomal RNA is filed under the name uncultured bacterium. RNAcentral describes it as "bacterial SSU rRNA". It matches the Rfam family "Bacterial small subunit ribosomal RNA", at positions 355 to 774 of the family's 1533-position model. The record is from RNAcentral.
UAGGGAAUAUUGGACAAUGGGCGCAAGCCUGAUCCAGCCAUGCCGCGUGAGUGAAGAAGGCCCUCGGGUUGUAAAGCUCUUUUGUCCGGAAAGAAAAGCAUCGGGUUAAUACCCCGGUGUUCUGACGGUACCGGAAGAAUAAGCACCGGCUAACUUCGUGCCAGCAGCCGCGGUAAUACGAAGGGUGCAAGCGUUACUCGGAAUUACUGGGCGUAAAGCGUGCGUAGGUGGUUCGUUAAGUCUGAUGUGAAAGCCCUGGGCUCAACCUGGGAAUGGCAUUGGAAACUGGCGGACUGGAGUGCGGAAGAGGGUAGCGGAAUUCCCGGUGUAGCAGUGAAAUGCGUAGAGAUCGGGAGGAACAUCCGUGGCGAAGGCGGCUACCUGGACCAGCACUGACACUGAGGCACGAAAGCGUGGGGAGCAAACA